Molecule: ribosomal RNA, 1826 nt
Filed under: Enterobacter bugandensis
Lineage: Bacteria; Pseudomonadati; Pseudomonadota; Gammaproteobacteria; Enterobacterales; Enterobacteriaceae
Description: partial 23S ribosomal RNA
Rfam family: Bacterial large subunit ribosomal RNA
Source: RNAcentral
UAAUAGCUCACUGGUCGAGUCGGCCUGCGCGGAAGAUGUAACGGGGCUAAACCAUGCACCGAAGCUGCGGCAGCGACACUUAUGUGUUGUUGGGUAGGGGAGCGUUCUGUAAGCCGUUGAAGGUGUGCUGUGAGGCAUGCUGGAGGUAUCAGAAGUGCGAAUGCUGACAUAAGUAACGAUAAAGCGGGUGAAAAGCCCGCUCGCCGGAAGACCAAGGGUUCCUGUCCAACGUUAAUCGGGGCAGGGUGAGUCGACCCCUAAGGCGAGGCCGAAAGGCGUAGUCGAUGGGAAACAGGUUAAUAUUCCUGUACUUGGUGUUACUGCGAAGGGGGGACGGAGAAGGCUAUGUCAGCCGGGCGACGGUUGUCCCGGUUUAAGCGUGUAGGUGUGUGUUCCAGGCAAAUCCGGUUCACUUUAACACUGAGGCGUGAUGACGAGGCACUACGGUGCUGAAGUGAUAAAUGCCCUGCUUCCAGGAAAAGCCUCUAAGCAUCAGGUAACACGAAAUCGUACCCCAAACCGACACAGGUGGUCAGGUAGAGAAUACCAAGGCGCUUGAGAGAACUCGGGUGAAGGAACUAGGCAAAAUGGUGCCGUAACUUCGGGAGAAGGCACGCUGAUAUGUAGGUGAAGUCCCUGCGGACGGAGCUGAAAUCAGUCGAAGAUACCAGCUGGCUGCAACUGUUUAUUAAAAACACAGCACUGUGCAAACACGAAAGUGGACGUAUACGGUGUGACGCCUGCCCGGUGCCGGAAGGUUAAUUGAUGGGGUUAGCGGCAACGCGAAGCUCUUGAUCGAAGCCCCGGUAAACGGCGGCCGUAACUAUAACGGUCCUAAGGUAGCGAAAUUCCUUGUCGGGUAAGUUCCGACCUGCACGAAUGGCGUAAUGAUGGCCAGGCUGUCUCCACCCGAGACUCAGUGAAAUUGAACUCGCUGUGAAGAUGCAGUGUACCCGCGGCAAGACGGAAAGACCCCGUGAACCUUUACUAUAGCUUGACACUGAACACUGGUCCUUGAUGUGUAGGAUAGGUGGGAGGCUUUGAAGCGUGGACGCCAGUCUGCGUGGAGCCGUCCUUGAAAUACCACCCUUUAAUGGCUGGUGUUCUAACGUGGACCCGUGAUCCGGGUUGCGGACAGUGUCUGGUGGGUAGUUUGACUGGGGCGGUCUCCUCCCAAAGAGUAACGGAGGAGCACGAAGGUUAGCUAAUCCUGGUCGGACAUCAGGAGGUUAGUGCAAUGGCAUAAGCUAGCUUGACUGCGAGAGUGACGGCUCGAGCAGGUGCGAAAGCAGGUCAUAGUGAUCCGGUGGUUCUGAAUGGAAGGGCCAUCGCUCAACGGAUAAAAGGUACUCCGGGGAUAACAGGCUGAUACCGCCCAAGAGUUCAUAUCGACGGCGGUGUUUGGCACCUCGAUGUCGGCUCAUCACAUCCUGGGGCUGAAGUAGGUCCCAAGGGUAUGGCUGUUCGCCAUUUAAAGUGGUACGCGAGCUGGGUUUAGAACGUCGUGAGACAGUUCGGUCCCUAUCUGCCGUGGGCGCUGGAGAAUUGAGGGGGGCUGCUCCUAGUACGAGAGGACCGGAGUGGACGCAUCACUGGUGUUCGGGUUGUCAUGCCAAUGGCACUGCCCGGUAGCUAAAUGCGGAAGAGAUAAGUGCUGAAAGCAUCUAAGCACGAAACUUGCCCCGAGAUGAGUUCUCCCUGAGACUAUAAGUCUCCUGAAGGAACGUUGAAGACGACGACGUUGAUAGGCCGGGUGUGUAAGCGCAGCGAUGCGUUGAGCUAACCGGUACUAAUGAACCGUGAGGCUUAACCUUACAACGCCGAAG